RNAcentral lists this ribosomal RNA (253 nucleotides) under uncultured bacterium. RNAcentral's name for it is "partial 16S ribosomal RNA". It matches the Rfam family "Bacterial small subunit ribosomal RNA", at positions 524 to 776 of the family's 1533-position model. The record is from RNAcentral.
UACAGAGGGUGCAAGCGUUAAUCGGAAUUACUGGGCGUAAAGAGUGCGCAGGCGGCUUUGCAAGACAGAUGUGAAAUCCCCGGGCUCAACCUGGGAACUGCAUUUGUGACUGCAAGGCUAGAGUACGGCAGAGGGGGAUGGAAUUCCGCGUGUAGCAGUGAAAUGCGUAGAUAUGCGGAGGAACACCAAUGGCGAAGGCAAUCCCCUGGGCCUGUACUGACGCUCAUGCACGAAAGCGUGGGGAGCAAACAGG